UGAGGGGCAGAGAGCGAGACUU
Molecule: non-coding RNA, 22 nt
Filed under: Gorilla gorilla (western gorilla)
Lineage: Eukaryota; Metazoa; Chordata; Mammalia; Primates; Hominidae
Also listed under: 2 other names
Gene: ggo-miR-423
Source: miRBase by way of RNAcentral